ACAGUAACUCUGUAUUCCAUGAAGAUAGGAAUGGUGACUGUAAUGAAGUAUCCAAUAAUAGAGGACAAUUAAUGCUUACGAAACAAAUACAUGAAUCAAUGAGUAGAUGGAAGCUUCUGUAAGCAUCUACAACAUCAGGAAGUGAUGAGGUUUCUUCCUUGAAGUCCUUUUCCUACGUAUCUCUCCCUCUACUUAAAGACUUAGUGUGAAUGUCAAUUACUCAAGCCUGAAUUAAAAGAGUUGACACAGGACAGGAAAACUCCAGUCAUCCUCAAGGGAAAAGAGGUCCUGAAAAGAGGAAACAAGGAGAGACCUCACGGAGUCAAAACAGGUGUUCACAGGCAUUGAAUACGGAAAAUGACUCAAGCUGCUUAGGAUGAGACGCAUGGUCAGAAUGGUUCAGCACAAGGGAUAUAUAACACCCUGAGGAUUAAAACAAAGGUAGUGUCUAGAAUGUUGCUGAAUAUGACAAAGAACUUUUAGAUUAGAACUCCAGGAAUGAAGAAGAUGAAGAAAAACAGACCUCAUGAUUAUCAGCUAAGGCCACUCCUAGCUCAAUCAUGUGUAGUCAGUGACUAUACAUACCAUCAGUAAAAUAAAUAAAUAUUAUAUCUAUUUAAUUGUUCUAUA
Molecule: long non-coding RNA, 630 nt
Filed under: Homo sapiens (human)
Lineage: Eukaryota; Metazoa; Chordata; Mammalia; Primates; Hominidae
Description: HSALNT0070099
Source: RNAcentral